UGGUGGAGUGAUUUGUCUGGUUAAUUCCGAUAACGAACGAGACUCUGUCCUGCUAACUAGGUUGUGUUUUCUUGGGUUGGUGUUCUGGUGUUCCUUCUCGGGGCGCCGGCCCAAUCCACUUGUGAACACAACACUCUUCUUAGAGGGACUGGCGGCUGUUAGCCGCACGAGAUAGAGCAAUAACA
RNAcentral lists this ribosomal RNA (185 nucleotides) under uncultured eukaryote. Its description in RNAcentral is "partial 18S ribosomal RNA". It matches the Rfam family "Eukaryotic small subunit ribosomal RNA", at positions 1299 to 1458 of the family's 1831-position model. The record is from RNAcentral.